UUGAUUUACAUUUUGACACAUGGAAGUAAAAAAUAACAAAAUAUUACUUAACUCAAGGGACAGAGUUGCCAUUGCUCCUUUGAUAUCUGAACAGUGCAGGUGCAUCACAUAUGGAACAGCACGGUAUUUCUUGAAUAUCUUCUUUCCAGAGAAACAAAAAUCUAUUGAAGUUUCGAAAUGUGCCGGUUCUUCAAUGUAUCCAUUCUUGAACCAGACAUAUUUAAAAAGAUUAUAAAAUCGUGGAGAACAUGGCUGUAUACGCAUCAAGGAUUACUUGCAGGACAAUGCCCGCUCCAAGAGCUAAUAACAGUACAUUGAAACUUUCUUAGCGGAUACAAAUACAUUUGUAAAC
Trachymyrmex septentrionalis is the source of this 352-nucleotide long non-coding RNA. RefSeq lists it as uncharacterized. The record is from RefSeq and is a predicted model, not a curated record. The transcript has 3 exons. NCBI's taxonomy places the organism in Eukaryota, Metazoa, Arthropoda, Insecta, Hymenoptera, Formicidae.